This is a long non-coding RNA of Cygnus olor (mute swan), 2279 nucleotides long. RefSeq lists it as uncharacterized. The record is from RefSeq and is a predicted model, not a curated record. The transcript is spliced from 10 exons. Lineage: Eukaryota; Metazoa; Chordata; Aves; Anseriformes; Anatidae.
CGGUCAGGGACCAAGGGGAGCAAGGACAGAGAAGUUUCUAGAACCAAGAGGAACCAUUCAGUCAGAUCACUUUGGAUCUAAUGUUUGUGUAAAGAGCCAUCCCUUCCAUGUUACAGUUUAUUCUAAAUGUUUUUUCACCCCUACCAUCAUCCUCUGUGGCUCGUACCUCAGUGCUUCCCAGACUGCCCACAGUGCAGGGAGGAGAGCCCACUGACUGUAAUGGAAUGCUUCUGGGAGCGUCUCUCAUACCCAGCAUAGACUGCUGUUCUCUGAAGAACAAGUCGAUAUUGUCUACUCCUGUCCAUCCUUCCUACAACUGACAAAGCCUCAGAGUUUGUAAUGACAUGAGCAGGCAAGGCUGUCUUCAAAAGUGUUUGCUUUGUCAGUACAUCAUGUAUCAGAUAAUUUCUUUUUCUUUUUCUUUUUUUUUUUUUUCCCUUUCAGGCCAACUGAAACUGCUGAGUUUGUGAGAAGCAAGCUAUAAAGGAGAUCUGCUUAUUUAUAAAUUGACAAGCUGGUUUUCCAGCUCUGUCAGUGCCAGAUUCUCAUUUGCUGCAGCCUUGGACUGGACUACGCUGGUGAUCACACGUGGAGGAUCAAAAUUCCCCCUCUUCUUAUGAAGACUUGCAACCAUGUCUGAAUGCAGCCACAAGUGUGGAUGGAGGACAACCCAACAGCACAGCCACGCUCCCUUCCUGUGAUGUACAGCUCACACUGAAAUAAAGGACAUCUGAACUUUAAUUGUUCAGUGCCCAGUGGUGAACAGAAAAGCAUGUUUUAAGAAGCCGUAAGGAAAAGGAGAGAGGGAGAGAGAAACUCUGCUGCGCCUGCCGUGUUGCACUAAUGAUUUUAAGAGGCCUUCAAAACUGAAGAAAGCUACAAGCUCACAAAAUUCUCAGUCUGCUGACUUUCAUAUGUGUCAAGAGAAAUGUAUAGCAAAGCAAAAGUGACCUAAGUUAAGCCACUGUGGAGAAAGCACAAGAGACGUAAUGACUGAGGGCCAUACUAAAUAGGUGGAAACCAGGACCGAGUAAAGACAUUGCUGCUGCUGCUUUGCCUAUACUGAGGCGAAGAAAAGGGCUAUGUGUGGUCUGCAGAACAUGGGGAAGCGACCUGCUGCAUAAAUACUGCAGGGGAGGCAAAUAAGGGAUGUCCAGCAGCAUCAACAAUCCUGACAGCAAAGCUGAAGGAACUAAGCUGCAGUAACAGAGAAAUGACGCAUUUGUGCUGGAAAGAGGCCCAUCAAUAGGCUGUAUGUCAUUUUUAAGCCAUUCAUCUAUAGAUAUGGCAAAGAUUGUUGCAAGAUGAUUUCUUUGCUGUCUGUGUACAUAGCUUCAUGAGACAGAAUUCAGAGGACUGGGAUGGAAAGACAGACUUAUUUGAAUCAGAAAUAUGGUUUUAAAAAAUGUUCAUAAUUUAAGAUAUCCAGUUAUUAAGUCUGCAUAUGGCUUCCUCCUCUGACCAGCUGACUGAGCUAAAAAAUACCUCCUGACAAUCAGAAAAUAGAAAGCAGCCUAGGAAGAUACUGGUAUGAUUAGAGUGAGGGACGAGGAAUUUGGACUGAGUGCUAGAAGAGAACUUUAUAACCAUUGCAAAUCAGUAGGUUUGGGUAGAUGACAUGGCAGAGGAGAAGUGAUGUGAAAUAUGAUAUAGGGGAUCAUGCAAAAGAGCAGGGAAAGUGAAAAGGCAGAUGUAUAACUGGAUUUUCAUUUUUCCAGUGUUAUUUCUGUGUCAGUUAACUAGGAAGAUGAGGGCUGUCUUGAAUUCCAUACUUCUUCUUUACUUCAAUGGUGUGCUGUUAAUAUACAUCACACAGCAAAACAUAUGCAGAUGCGAGUGCUCUCUAUACCUCAGGCCUCCAAAAAGCUGUAUCAGCACAGCACCAAAUCUGAACUAAUGCACCCUGUCUCUUAGCGGGGACUAAUAGCUCAGGAUUAGCUUCAUGCUAACAGCGUUUGAGCUGCCUGGAAGUGAGUUUUAUCUGCCCACAAUGUACUUUGUAGACCUUUCUUUACUGGGUGUAAUUUGGAAGAAGCAUUAAGAGCUUUCUUAAGACAUUUUGCUUUUCAUUGUUAUAUGUCAAAGUGCUUUGCAAAUGAGGCAAUAUGAAUCACUGUCCACAUUUCAUGGAUUGCAAAACCAGCGAAACCAAAAUACAGUACAUGCCCUUAGUUGCUCAAUGGUCAGGUCUAGAGCAUGGUUCAGAUCUCCAUUACUCCAUCAAUUUAGGCCACACUGUGGCAGUCACAGGAUUGUUCAGAUUCUGUGCUAAUAUUCAG